GACGAACGCUGGCGGCGUGCUUAACACAUGCAAGUCGAACGGAGAGGCCCUGCUUUUGUGGGGUGCUCGAGUGGCGAACGGGUGAGUAACACGUGAGUAACCUGCCCUUGACUUUGGGAUAACUUCAGGAAACUGGGGCUAAUACCGGAUAGGAGCUCCUGCUGCAUGGUGGGGGUUGGAAAGUUUCGGCGGUUGGGGAUGGACUCGCGGCUUAUCAGCUUGUUGGUGGGGUAGUGGCUUACCAAGGCUUUGACGGGUAGCCGGCCUGAGAGGGUGACCGGCCACAUUGGGACUGAGAUACGGCCCAGACUCCUACGGGAGGCAGCAGUGGGGAAUAUUGCACAAUGGGCGGAAGCCGGAUGCAGCAACGCCGCGUGCGGGAUGACGGCCUUCGGGUUGUAAACCGCUUUCGCCUGUGACGAAGCGUGAGUGACGGUAAUGGGGAAAGAAGCACCGGCUAACUACGU
RNAcentral lists this ribosomal RNA (467 nucleotides) under uncultured bacterium. RNAcentral describes it as "partial 16S ribosomal RNA". It matches the Rfam family "Bacterial small subunit ribosomal RNA", at positions 28 to 506 of the family's 1533-position model. The record is from RNAcentral.